CGUAUGUGGGCGACUCUAAGGAGACUGCCGGGUGGACAAACCGGAGGAAAGGUGGGGAUGACGUCAAGUCAUCAUGGCCCUUACGGCCUGGGCUACACACGUGCUACAAUGGUCGGUACAAAGGGUUGCCAAGCCGCGAGGUGGAGCUAAUCCCAUAAAACCGAUCGUAGUCCGGAUCGCAGUCUGCAACUCGACUGCGUGAAGUCGGAAUCGCUAGUAAUCGUGAAUCAGAAUGUCACGGUGAAUACGUUCCCGGGCCUU
Molecule: ribosomal RNA, 261 nt
Filed under: uncultured Pseudomonas sp.
Lineage: Bacteria; Pseudomonadati; Pseudomonadota; Gammaproteobacteria; Pseudomonadales; Pseudomonadaceae
Description: partial 16S ribosomal RNA
Rfam family: Bacterial small subunit ribosomal RNA
Source: RNAcentral